Molecule: ribosomal RNA, 484 nt
Filed under: uncultured bacterium
Lineage: Bacteria
Description: partial 16S ribosomal RNA
Rfam family: Bacterial small subunit ribosomal RNA
Source: RNAcentral
AUUGAACGCUGGCGGCAGGCCUAACACAUGCAAGUCGAGCGGAUGAAGGGAGCUUGCUCCUGGAUUCAGCGGCGGACGGGUGAGUAAUGCCUAGGAAUCUGCCUGGUAGUGGGGGAUAACGUCCGGAAACGGGCGCUAAUACCGCAUACGUCCUGAGGGAGAAAGUGGGGGAUCUUCGGACCUCACGCUAUCAGAUGAGCCUAGGUCGGAUUAGCUAGUUGGUGGGGUAAAGGCCUACCAAGGCGACGAUCCGUAACUGGUCUGACAGGAUGAUCAGUCACACUGGAAGUGAGACACGGUCCAGACUCCUACGGGAGGCAGCAGUGGGGAAUAUUGGACCAGGGGCGAAAGCCUGAUCCAGCCAUGCCGCGUGUGUGAAGAAGGUCUUCGGAUUGUAAAGCACUUUAAGUUGGGAGGAAGCGCAGUAAGUUAAUACCUUGCUGUUUUGACGUUACCAACAGAAUAAGCACCGGCUAACUUAGUG